UGUUCCUCUGAGAUCGUCUUCAGCCAGAGAGAGGUUGUGUUUCCGGACAUUGGUCACCUAGGAAUGGUCCUGAGCGAUUGUUUGUUCCUUUGGCGUCCCACGUACCUAUAUGACAGAAAAUAGUAGAAACAACAUAUGGUGAUUUAAUUGGUUCAUGAUGGUAGUGUGAUAUCUCUAUAUGUGAUCAUUGUUUCCGGCACCUAGCCACUUCUUCUUGUAGUAGGUUAGUUUAUCCCGGCCAUUAUGAUGUAUGUUUCACGUCGAAAUCUUUAGAGGGUUUUUAUGUUUAAUCUCUUCUCCUUCUACCGCUAAAUAAUUGAUCUCAAAAUCUACUCAGAAAUAGGGUAUAUAAAGUACGG
This 359-nucleotide long non-coding RNA is filed under the name Brassica rapa (field mustard). RNAcentral describes it as "long non-coding RNA (BRAP_LNC006638)". Lineage: Eukaryota; Viridiplantae; Streptophyta; Magnoliopsida; Brassicales; Brassicaceae. The record is from RNAcentral.